Molecule: long non-coding RNA, 2001 nt
Filed under: Felis catus (domestic cat)
Lineage: Eukaryota; Metazoa; Chordata; Mammalia; Carnivora; Felidae
Description: lncRNA (ENSFCAG00000045157.2)
Source: RNAcentral
GUGAUGAGGGAGCAUCAGAGAGAUUCUUCCGCCUGCCCCCAGCUGUGUCUGUCCCUCUCCCCCGCUGCCGGCGGGUCCCACUUCCCUUCACCAUCCUGCCUCGCUUCUCCGCGGCCGGCCUGACUUGGUGGCAUUUCCUGCCCCGAGAUUGACAGCAAGAUAAGGUCCACAGCAUGGACCAAAUCAGGGAAGGCAGGCUUGGGUUAGGAGAGGGGAGAAAAGGCAGGACCAUCCUUCCGGCUUCUUUCAAACUGUGUUUCCUAGCUGCCUUCUCUUGGAAGAGGCUUCAGCGGUCUGCCUUGGAUCAAUCAGUGUCAUCUAUUUGCAAGGGCCUUUGCUCGACAAAGAGACGAGAGCCAACAGGUAAUCUCCCCGCAAAGUUGCCAAGGUUGGUGGGAAUGUGGGACCCUUACCGGCAGACCGUCGGGCUCCGAGGGGCCCCUCGGUGCUUUUCUUCAGAAAUCUUUUCAUUCCCCAAACAUUUUCAAAUUGCUGUUUCCUUUCCUUUCUUGUGACACAGUCAAAAGAGGCAGUUUUUUUUGUUUUUGUUUUUUUUUCCUGUGGAAAAACAACGCUGGGUUCUGGUUUCUCUUUGUUGGAAGAGAAAGACUUGAAGUGGGCCUCACGGGCCUGAACUAUCAGAUACACAAACUAUGUGGGGAUCCCCGGGGUCCUGGCUAUGAGUAUGGGCUCCCAACAUGGCUUAGUAUCAUCUGUAGGUUUGGCCCAACUGUAAUUUGUAAUUGGAAAGGGCUUCGUCCUCUGUGGCCCUUCCAUCAGUCAUGGGCCAUAAACUUGGCACAAAGAUUCCACAACAUGAGAGAAGGGAGAUGUGACGUUUCAGAAGGCGGCUGUUGGUUCUUGAUGUAAACCGUCAGAUCCGAUUGGUGAUAAGGCCAAGUUCAGACAUCGUAAGCUCCUUAAACCAGUGAGUGAUGGAGCAGGGGAGCUAAGUGGCUGUCUGGAACGGGUGCUCCUUUCCAAGUCAGGAAAGAAGAGGCUUUUAAAAUAUUUCCCAAAGCAGUUGUGGUCAAAGAGAGGGGAAUAUGUGUCUUGGAGGGGAAAGGAGAUGAUUUUCACGCGUCCCUAAACCCCCAACUGGGAUAAAAACGCAGGUAGGUUUCAUCAAGGCAUAGUAAUUUUGUAGAGGUCCAGAGAUUUGCCGACUUGACCGACGAGGCCUUGGUUUUUGGAAGGAUGGAAAAGAGUGACGUCGAUGGCGUCCGGAGAUGGUUUGUUUUCUGUCCCUUUACUUUCUCUACCCGCCUUCUAGGUGUUUAUGAGACAAGAUGAGCCCUAAGCAACUGCCAGUCAUCAUUGGAAAACGUGCUUUUAACUUAGCUGGUGGGUUUGAAAAUCUGACUCCUUCUCUGGGGGUGGGGGGCCUGUUCGUAGCCCCUCCUCCCCCCGAAGACAUCUAACGGUACUUUCCAUAAGCGGGUAACACAUUUCCCUGUUUCUGCGUUCCCCUCCACUCCACGAUCCAGUGAAGUCAGAUUCUCCUUGUGAAGGUUUUAGGCCUCUCUUGGGGGUCCUCGUGGGCAAGAUUUAAAUAGUUCCAGAUCAGCUGUCUCUCCGAUGCCAUUCUCAGGCUCCCCAAACUCUGAGAGUGUGGGCUACCCCCAACACAGCAAACUCCUCCCAGCUGCCAGAUCUCUCCCCUGUGAGAACUUUUUGUCAUGAGCUGGACCCCAAGCCGUUGUGUUUCCCCCAAGUUCUGGGGACGCCUUUCAGACACUCUAGGUGAUCCUGUUGCAACCUUACAUUGGCUUGAGGUGAGCUCGAUAACUCCAGAAAAAUUCUAUCUAAAAUCCUUCUUCCCUUAGGAGGCACCUGUGAGGCUCAGUUGGUUGAGCAUCCAACUCUUGGUUUCGGCUCAGGUCAUGAUCUCGCAGUUCGUGAGUUCGAGCCCCGCAUCGGAGCCUCCCUUGGAUUCUGUUCCUCCGCCACUCGCAGUCUGCUUCUCUCUCUCUCUCAAAAAUAAAGAUUUAAGAAAAAAAA